AAACUUGGCAGCUGCGGACUCUGUGCUGUGGCAGCCUAAGCAGACCCUCGUCACCAGCUAAUGACAAGUGCAGGCCUUGCUGGGCUGUGUCCUAAGGUGAAUCAACGUGAAAAAAAGCCCUGACUGCUCAUGCACUGAUAUCUUUAUCUUUUCAGAUGCCUGGGAACCACCACCAUCACAUCUGGAAAAAAGUGACUUCACACUACAGCAGAGGAAAACCAUGGGUUGGCCAAAAACGGAACAGAAUUUAUAAGGGAAAAGGAAGGUUCUGGAGUAAUAUGGUUAGAUGAGAAUGGAGCUGGUGAAUGAGCAGAAGAGAAGGUUGGAAGAGUACAGUGGUGAUGACAGCCCUCUGCUCCUCUUUCUCCAGCAGAAAAAGCCCCAAGUUUAUUCACCCCUCUUGUACUAUAAGGCAGAGGGAAAAAUAAUGACAAACACACAGUAAACUUUGUUAUCAACAAACAGAAGUCGUUGCCAAGGAAACAGAACAAGAGCAUCCCUGCAUCCAGCCAUCACAGUGUGAAGUGAGUUUCAGAUGAGGAGAUGCCUUGAGGGGCAAGGAGACCCUUCAGGAAAAGGCUAACCUGAUAAAGGAACCAAUGAGUUGCCAUUCCAACUGAUGUCUUUUUUCCCUUUCUCAAUAAAGAGAAGAGCUUGCAAGAGCCCUUAAAGACA
Sapajus apella (tufted capuchin) is the source of this 675-nucleotide long non-coding RNA. RefSeq lists it as uncharacterized. The transcript is spliced from 4 exons. NCBI's taxonomy places the organism in Eukaryota, Metazoa, Chordata, Mammalia, Primates, Cebidae. The record is from RefSeq and is a predicted model, not a curated record.